GACGUAGGGCGCGAGCGUUGUCCGGAUUUAUUGGGCGUAAAGCGCGUGUAGGCGGCCAGGUAGGUCCGCUGUGAAAACCCGAGGCUCAACCUCGGGACGUCGGCGGAAACCAUUUGGCUAGAGUCCGGAAGAGGAGAGUGGAAUUCCCGGUGUAGCGGUGAAAUGCGCAGAUAUCGGGAAGAACACCCGUGGCGAAGGCGGCUCUCUGGGACGGUACUGACGCUGAGACGCGAAAGCGUGGGGAGCGAACAGG
Molecule: ribosomal RNA, 253 nt
Filed under: uncultured bacterium
Lineage: Bacteria
Description: partial 16S ribosomal RNA
Rfam family: Bacterial small subunit ribosomal RNA
Source: RNAcentral